Molecule: ribosomal RNA, 497 nt
Filed under: uncultured bacterium
Lineage: Bacteria
Description: partial 16S ribosomal RNA
Rfam family: Bacterial small subunit ribosomal RNA
Source: RNAcentral
GAUGAACGCUGGCGGCGUGCCUAAUACAUGCAAGUCGAGCGAACAGAUAAGGAGCUUGCUCCUUUGACGUUAGCGGCGGACGGGUGAGUAACACGUGGAUAACCUACCUAUAAGACUGGGAUAACUUCGGGAAACCGGAGCUAAUACCGGAUAACAUAUUGAACCGCAUGGUUCAAUAGUGAAAGGCGGCUUUGCUGUCACUUGUAGAUGGAUCCGCGCCGUAUUAGCUAGUUGGUAAGGUAACGGCUUACCAAGGCAACGAUACGUAGCCGACCUGAGAGGGUGAUCGGCCACACUGGAACUGAGACACGGUCCAGACUCCUACGGGAGGCAGCAGUAGGGAAUCUUCCGCAAUGGGCGAAAGCCUGACGGGGCAACGCCGCGUGAGUGAUGAAGGUCUUCGGAUCGUAAAACUCUGUUAUCAGGGAAGAACAAAUGUGUAAGUAACUGUGCACAUCUUGACGGUACCUGAUCAGAAAGCCACGGCUAACUACGUG